CUGCCAGUAGUCAUAUGCUUGUCUCAAAGAUUAAGCCAUGCAUGUCUCAGUACAAGCCAAAUUAAGGUGAAACCGCGAAAGGCUCAUUAAAUCAGUUAUGGUUCCUUAGAUCGUACCCACAAUUACUUGGAUAACUGUGGUAAUUCUAGAGCUAAUACAUGCAAACAGAGCUCCGACCGGAGACGGAAGGAGUGCUUUUAUUAGAUCAAAACCAAUCGGUGGCGAGUUCGCGCUCGUCAUCGUACAAUUUGGUGACUCUGAAUUACUUUACGCUGAUCGCACGGUCUCGCACCGGCGACGCAUCUUUCAAAUGUCUGCCUUAUCAACUGUCGAUGGUAGGUUCUGCGCCUACCAUGGUUGUAACGGGUAACGGGGAAUCAGGGUUCGAUUCCGGAGAGGGAGCCUGAGAAACGGCUACCACAUCCAAGGAAGGCAGCAGGCGCGCAAAUUACCCACUCCCGGCACGGGGAGGUAGUGACGAAAAAUAACGAUACGGGACUCAUCCGAGGCCCCGUAAUCGGAAUGAGUACACUCUAAACCCUUUAACGAGGAUCAAUUGGAGGGCAAGUCUGGUGCCAGCAGCCGCGGUAAUUCCAGCUCCAAUAGCGUAUAUUAAAGU
RNAcentral lists this ribosomal RNA (619 nucleotides) under Rhinoscapha sp. 2 MVD-2017. RNAcentral describes it as "SSU rRNA". It matches the Rfam family "Eukaryotic small subunit ribosomal RNA", at positions 14 to 610 of the family's 1831-position model. Lineage: Eukaryota; Metazoa; Arthropoda; Insecta; Coleoptera; Curculionidae. The record is from RNAcentral.